UUAUAUAUUUUUCAUUUCACAAUUUGUACGCGAACAUGCUAAGAAAAGAUAAAAAAGAGGAAAGUGAAUUAAAAAAUGUUUGUAAAUGAUUAAUGGAGGCUCACUAUUACUACAAAUUACGACAUCAUUAAAACAAUUAUCCAAAAUGUCCGCACAACGAUUGCCCGUAUGGAUAAUAUGAGCAUCCCACAGGUUUCUAAAUAAGUUUUCUGCAAUCUUGGACGAGCCCUUCAUCUGAGUGGUCUCUCAAACAACCAAUCACUUUAGUCUCGAUCUGAAAUAUAAAUAAUUCAAAUAUAAAUAAAUUUUAUAGUUUUAUAAAUUACUCAAACAUCUUCAAAUAAUAAUUUUUUAUUAAUAAUCGAAUUAUAUUUGCUCAAAAAUUUCAAAUUACCCGGACUCGAUUCAAAAUCGUGCUCGACUGAUAGCUACAUAAAUCUCAAUCAAACAUUAUUUCAUAUUUAAUAAAUUUUGUGAAUUAUUAUUUUUUUUUUAAAUUAUAAUUUAUUUUAUUAAUUUAUCUAACAUAAGACUUCUUACUUAACAAGAGCCUAAAAUAGAAUUGAAGUCAAACUAUCGCUAGAAAUUAUAAUUUUUAUAUAUGAAAGUAUCAAUUCUUAAUUUUUUGUCUUUUUUAUACUCCAUUUGGUAUGAAUUAAUUGCACUAAAGUCCAAAUGUUUAAAUUAUGCACAACUCAAAUGAGGACACGCACCUACCCUCAGAACACAACCGAACCUUCAAAUAUGAUAAAGUUAUCAUGAAAUUAAUUUUAAGAAAUUAUUAAAUUCACAGUAUUUUUUGUUAUUUUUAUAACAAAAGUAUUGUUAUAGAUGUAUAGCGACGGCUAACCGUCAUUAUAUGAUCUAUAGCGACACUUUUAUUAUGAAAAUACUAAAAUUUUUUGUUGUAAAUUUAAUAAUUUUCUAAUUUUAUUAUAAGUUGAUCAAUUGACUAUUAUAAUACCGAUAUACCUCACCACGUGCAUGUAAUCAAUUGACCACAAUUAAUUUUAUGUUAACCACUCCCUUCAAAUAACUAAUCAUUCCCAAAUAACUGAAUGGUAAUUGACUAUGAAACCGCCUAUAAAUGAUGGCUUAAGUACACAUUAAGCUUUUGAAUUUAUUUUAAUUUUAAGACAUUGAAUCUCGUUGUCUCUAUAUAUGUUUAUAAAUUAAAAUUUUUAACUAUCAAAUUAAGCAUUUUUUAUGGUGAUUAUUAUUUUCACAUGAUUUAUUUUUACAUUAAGAUGAGAUCCAUUAUAUGUUCAUGUGAAAAAAUACUAUGUAAAAAUAUAAAAAAUAUAUGUAAAAAUAUGAAUUCUCUUUUUUAUCGAAAUAAAUCACAUAACUCAAAAUAAAGAGUAAUUAAAAUUUUUAAGUGUUUAUCAUUUAAUAAUGGUUUCGAUUUUUCUUCUUCAUCGCAUACUAAUCGACUAUAAUUUCUUGUGUUUUUUAAGAUAUUUGAUAUUUUAUAUCAAUUUGAAAAAUUAAGUUUGUUUAAUUGUAUAUAUUAUUUAUAUUGGAUUUAAUUUUUUUUUUAUCAAGCACUAAUCAUGUGCGUAUAUUUUUUUGUGUUUUUAAUUAAAAAUAUUUUGGAGUAAAACUAUCAAAAAUAUUCUAAUGAAAAUCAAUUAUUACUUGUAUGUGACCAACAAAAUUUAAUUUAUAAAAAUAAAUAUCUUAAAAUUAAAAUAUUAGAUUUUGACUUUAAAAAAUGAAAAAAUUAAAGUGUAUUUAAACCUAAAAUGAUAAAGCCCUGGUUCUGAACCAAAGAAUCGUAAAGCAAACCUGUAGCUUCUAUCAUAUACAACCCCUGAAUAUCCUCUACAAACCCUGAAUACCUUUCUCCGGGAAUGCAGAGAAAUGAGAGGAGCUUCGUUUUCUAACCGCGGAAGGGCCAAAAAAGCCAACGGCAGUAGAAAUUGUCACCGGAAACACGUUGAAGACGGUUGAACUCCAUUAUUCCCCAUUCACUCAUCCAUUUCAUUUCAAUUCCCUUCUAAUUAAAUAAACCACUCUUUUAUUCUGAUUAUAAAAAUGG
RNAcentral lists this long non-coding RNA (2041 nucleotides) under Panax ginseng (ginseng). Its description in RNAcentral is "long non-coding RNA (PGIN_LNC004244)". The record is from RNAcentral. Lineage: Eukaryota; Viridiplantae; Streptophyta; Magnoliopsida; Apiales; Araliaceae.